Non-coding RNA from Immersiella caudata, 89 nucleotides. NCBI's taxonomy places the organism in Eukaryota, Fungi, Ascomycota, Sordariomycetes, Sordariales, Lasiosphaeriaceae. The record is from the annotation of a GenBank genome assembly.
GGGCGUGUAGCUCAGGGGUAGAGCGUUCGCUUCGCAUCCUUGUUGUUCUUAUAUGCGAAAGGCCCUGGGUUCGAUUCCCAGCUCGUCCA